This 73-nucleotide transfer RNA is filed under the name Candidatus Termititenax aidoneus. RNAcentral's name for it is "Termititenax aidoneus tRNA". It matches the Rfam family "tRNA". Rfam says of the family: Transfer RNA (tRNA) molecules are approximately 80 nucleotides in length. Their secondary structure includes four short double-helical elements and three loops (D, anti-codon, and T loops). Further hydrogen bonds mediate the characteristic L-shaped molecular structure. tRNAs have two regions of fundamental functional importance: the anti-codon, which is responsible for specific mRNA codon recognition, and the 3' end, to which the tRNAs corresponding amino acid is attached (by aminoacyl-tRNA synthetases). tRNAs cope with the degeneracy of the genetic code in two manners: having more than one tRNA (with a specific anti-codon) for a particular amino acid; and 'wobble' base-pairing, i.e. permitting non-standard base-pairing at the 3rd anti-codon position. Lineage: Bacteria; Bacillati; Candidatus Margulisiibacteriota; Candidatus Termititenacia; Candidatus Termititenacales; Candidatus Termititenacaceae. The record is from Rfam by way of RNAcentral.
GGGGGCGUAGCUCAGUUGGUAGAGCGCCUGCUUUGCAAGCAGGAUGUCGUGGGUUCGAUUCCUGUCGCCUCCA